GCCUUGUUGGUGCAGUAGGCAGCGUGUCAGUCUCAUAAUCUGAAGGUUGUGAGUUCAAGCCUUACAUGGGGCA
Molecule: non-coding RNA, 73 nt
Organism: Danio rerio (zebrafish)
Lineage: Eukaryota; Metazoa; Chordata; Actinopteri; Cypriniformes; Danionidae
Source: Rfam